GUUAUAGGGUUGCUAGUGUUAGAAAAUUCAUUAGUGAGCUUCCAAUUUUUUAAUUCUUUUCUGGUAGAGCUUGAGUAACAUAGGUAUUGUCUCUUCUUUAAAGAUUAGAUAGAACUGAACUGCAAAAUCAUUUGCUUCUGGUUCCUUUUUUUGGGAAAGAUUUUAUUAUUUAUUUGACAGGGCACAAGCACAAGCAGCGGGAGUGGCAGAGGGAGAAGCAGGCUCCCCACCGAGCAGGGAGUCUGAUGUGGGGAUCAGCCAGCCCAACUGACUUGUGCACCCAGGCACCUCUACCCUGGUUCCUUUUUUAGUGGUAGAUCUAGAAUCACAUUUCCAAUCCUAUCUCUAGUAAUUUGUCUACUCAAACCCUCUGUUUCUUGAGUUAAUGUUGGUAACUUCUAUUAGGAAAUCAUCCAUUACUUCUAGAAUUUUUAAUUUGAUGUCAUAGAUUUAUAUGUAAAAUUAUAAUUCUUUUAAUUACAUAUAUUUAUGUAGUUAGACUCUUUAUUAUUCAUAAUUUGUAUACUUUUGCUUUUUCUCUAUUUUCACUGAGUUGUACUCAUGAAGAAUCUGUUUUAUUGGUCUUUUCAAUGAACCAGCCUUUAAUUUAUCACUUUUACAAUUGUUUAUCUUGGUCAUUAUUUUUAUCUUUAACUUUUCUCAUUUCUUCUAUUUUAGGAUAUAUUCUGUUGUAUUUUUCCUUAUCUAAUUUUUUUUAUGACAGUCACACAGAUAGAGAGAGAGAGAGAGAGAGGCAGAGACACAGGCAGAGGGAGAAGCAGGCUCCAUGCACCGAGAGCCUGACGUGGGAUUCGAUCCCGGGUCUCCAGGAUCGCGCCCUGGGCCAAAGGCAGGCGCCAAACCGCUGCACCACCCAGGGAUCCCCUCCUUAUCUAAUUUUUAAAGAAGAAUGUUUAUUUCCUUUAUUUAUGCUCUUCUUAAAUAAUAAUGGUAAUUAAGACUUUAUUUUUUCUCUGAAUACAGCUUUAGUCAUGCCCUAUAGGCUUUGAUAUGAUGUAUUCCCUUUUUCUUUGUUUUCCAGAUAGCUUGCAAUUUUAGUUUUAACUUUCUCUUUGACCCAGUGGUUAUUUUAAAGGACAAUACUAUAUUAUCAGGCAGUUACAUUUUAUGGUGCUCUUUUAUUAUUUAUUUCUAAUUUUGUUAAGAUAAGAGGGUGUGCCUGUAAAUUCUUUAAUUUUUAAAAUAUAUAUCCUUAUUCAUAUAAUCUGAGUUUUUAAAUUUGAAAAUUUUAUUUUUCAGUCCCCAAAAUUACUUUUCUUGCUUUAAUUAUAGUCUUUGCAGUGGUAUCAUUAUUUAUUUUGCUAAAGAUUAUAUCUGAUUCCUUUGAUUGUUCUAUUUCAGUGGGAGAUAAUAUAAAUUUGCAGUUCACAGGCAAUGGAUAUGAAUAGUCACUUAUGGAAAUGAUACAAGGGACUGGAGAAAUUUGGAGGAUCAAAAACUCCAAGGAAGGUCUUCUGGGAGCUAUCCUGUGGAGGCAGGACUGGGAUUUGACUGAAAUUUGUUUGAAAUCAAUUUUAUGAUUCUGUGUUUAUUUUUCCACCAUAUUCACAUUUCCUUCACUGUUUCUUAGACAUACCUAGUGAUGCUUAUCUAAUAGUACAUUAAAAAAAUUUCAGAAAGUGUCUUGAAACUGUUACCCAUCAUUUACCUGUUCUCUCUCUGUCUCCCCAACCCCUUGCAGAUCAGUAAUGUAUCAAAUUAGCACAGUGUUCCAGCUAUUGUAUUUUGUGUUGAUUACUUUAGUUGUAGGGUAAGAAAGCUGUGCUCAGAAUUUAGUGUCUAGGUGAAAGCAGAGUGCAAGCAAAUAAGUUGUGUAGAGACCAUGGCUUGAUGAACAGCCGAUAUCAUUUCCCAAUGGGCUCAUCCUGCUUAUGUCUCCCAGGAAAAUCUCUCAAGAGUAAGAAGAAAGCAUACAAUUAUUUACUAAUGGAUGGAGUGACAGACAUUGAAAAUUAUUGAACAUUUCGAAGUACUUUCUCACUGGAAUACUGGAAAGAGAGUGCCAUUUCCUUCUUCCCUUGAAGAUGGUUUCUUAUUUGAUCUUAAAGUAGAGAUUUAACAUUGCACUGGGGAUUAUAAAUAUAUACAUAUUUGCCUGUAUGCUUAUAUGAUAGAAUAUUAUGUUUUGCUUAUGAUAGAACAUUAUGUUUUAGAUAUAAACCUGUGGUCUUGUUCUUCUCUACCACAAUAUUUCUUACUUUUUUCAUUUUCCUCAGGAAAAAUUUAUGGAAGGGGUUUGGAAGCCCAAACAUAUGAAAAUAUCAUACUAGAUAUAGUUGGUGCUCUGCCCUGAGAUGUAUCUGGUUACAGUUUUAUUUGUAUUCAGCCUGCUGAAGACUCAGUGUGUUCAAUAUGAGUCUUCAUGUCUUCCUUCAAUUGUGCCACAAUCUCUUCAUGUAUUGCCUUUUCCUUAUUCUUUCUAGUCUCUCUUUAUGGAAAUUCUUCCAGGCAUAUUUUAAUUCUUUUCAUUCUUUCUGCCAUGUAGUCUAGCUUCUCAUUUAUAUUUUGUAUCACUUCAUCUUUUUGGGCUCCAUUCUGGGUAAUUUUUUGAGAUUUAUGUUUGGAUGUCUUAAUUAUCUCCUUGCUUUUGAGUUUACUUGUGCUAGGACCAUACACAUUUCACCAGUUCCAGAUUAUUUUUAUGUUAAUUUAUAUCCUUUAGUUAUCCAACAUGUAGGAAGUGUGAAUUCAACCACACACCUAUGGGUGGAGUUGGCCUGGGUUCUAAUUGCUCCCAGAAGGCCCUUUAUCUACCCACAUCCUCACAUAAAAGAUAAGCAAAAAAGUAUUUUUCCUGUGAGGAAAGGUUUUCUAGUCAUCAUUUUGUGUCCUGGUUGUGCUUCUCGGUAGGAUCUGGGUUUAGACAGGAGCUCAGUACUAACUUCCCAUCUUCCACUGCCUAGAAACAUUGCCUUCUGUCACUAGGUAGGAUUAAAACCCUAGUCCCAGGCCCUUAAAACCAAUAUCCAUCUAUUUGUCUUUAUCUUCUGCUCACUGUUAGUUCCUUCUUUGCUUUCUGGGGAAUUCCAUUUCAUUAUUAUGAGCUUGACUGUAUUACUACUUUUAGAGAGGUGCAUAUUCUAUCAUUUCUGUGAGUUUCAGGUGGGAAGAGGAAAGUUUUCCAAGUCAGUUCAGACUUCCACUGACUGGAAACUUCUCAGAUAGGUUUAUUGGAUUGGAUUGUGUAGGUGACUUAUGGUCCUAUCUCUUAAGAUACAUUUGUGGGUGGGAGAUGGCUGCUUUAUAUUAGUCCCAGCCAGAUAGUAUAGAGUCUUACCAAGCUUUCUAUGUCCCAGCAUAGCAAUGGCAGGACGCAGCAGAAAAAGUCUUGAUCAAUCAAGGAUGACCCAGAAGCAAAUAGAGAGCCACCACGUCUGAAGGGGCCACAAGGAAGGAAUGGGAAUGUUGAAUUUUGUAGAUGACACUGGAACCAUAUGGACUCCUUCCUUCCAACAAUUGUAAGGCACUCUAUAAGCAUCCUCAAACUUAAACACAACCAUGGAGAAAAUGGUAGAUCUUGAACUGAUCUUGACUGAUUUCAGUCACCCCCAUGUAGUGAGACAACAAAAUGGAAAUCAUGAAUAUUGCUAUAGAAAAUAAAAGUUGGAUGUCUUAAACACUUGAAUUUGUGGACUGAGAUUUAUUCCAAUUUCAUGAAAAUAUAUCUACAUAUAUGUACAUACAGAUUUAUUUAUGGAUAGUAAAACAGCUGGAAGGGUAUAUCACAGUGCAUUAGCUAUGGCAUUCUGUAGCAGUGAGAUUACAAGAUAUUUAUAGUCUUUUUUGGCUAGGUAACUCUACUUUUCCUUAUUUCAGCUCAAAUUUCACUUCCUUAGGGAAUUUUUCCUGUCCCUGUCUACUGCCUUAAGGAUGUGUCUUGAUCUUCUGGUAUAUGCUUUUUAAUGUCUGUGUUCUAGUCCUUCUCUGUACUUAUAUGACAUUAUAAUUAUACAUACACAUGUGUGAUUACUUGGUUAAUGUAUAUACUCCACUAGGCUGUGAGCUUCAUGAGUGCAAAGACUCAAUCUGUUUUUCUCACCAUUGUAUUCUCAGUAACUUGCAUAGGCACUUAAUAAAGACUUAUUAAAUGAAUUGAUGAAUACAUUUCUGCAUUGUUUGAAUAUUUUUACAAUGAUUGUAGUAAUACUAACUUCAUUAUUAAAAGAAAAUAAAAAUCAUCCUAUUUAAAAAACAA
This 4216-nucleotide long non-coding RNA is filed under the name Canis lupus familiaris (dog). RNAcentral describes it as "lncRNA (ENSCAFG00845019973.1)". The record is from RNAcentral. Lineage: Eukaryota; Metazoa; Chordata; Mammalia; Carnivora; Canidae.